Molecule: long non-coding RNA, 398 nt
Organism: Zophobas morio
Lineage: Eukaryota; Metazoa; Arthropoda; Insecta; Coleoptera; Tenebrionidae
Exons: 4
Source: RefSeq, a predicted model, not a curated record
GGCAGUUUUUUAAGUUAUAUAGUGACGAUCGUAGUAUAUAAACAAGCCAUCGCGUUAUCCAUAUUUCGGAACUUUUUAAAACCGGUGGUAAUCGUUAGUGACACGGGAGGUGCUGAAUGAAGAUGUAAAAAGAAGGCUAGACUAUUAAUAAAUUUCGGGUGUAAUGUUGGUAUUAACAAGGAGUCAAAAGAAUGGCCCUUCUGCUUUCAUCUCUCAAGGAUGGUGUCACUAAGUAGUCCUUCUGUUGCUUUGAAGAUAUUAGCUUUAUAAUUAGCAGGCAGUGCCAGUUUCCAAAGGAGUUAUCUCAACUACUUCCAUUAUGCUUAGAACUGCUUUACUUGUCUUAAGAGCUGGUUUAAUUAUGCUCUUGUUACUCUUCCAACCUAUUCUAUUCUGCA